This is a long non-coding RNA of Meriones unguiculatus (Mongolian gerbil), 3614 nucleotides long. RefSeq lists it as uncharacterized. The transcript has 4 exons. The record is from RefSeq and is a predicted model, not a curated record. NCBI's taxonomy places the organism in Eukaryota, Metazoa, Chordata, Mammalia, Rodentia, Muridae.
AGGCGGCGGCGCGCACGCGCGUACACAGCCGCGCCUGGCCCGGCGGGCCCCGGAGCGCCUAGCACAAACGCGAACCGCGGGCGAGCUGAAAGAGCGGAGGUGCGCGAGGCCCUCCUGCAGGCGUGCUGGGGCCUGCCGUCAUCCCCGGCCCCGAGUGCUGACUCCUUCCUGAGGACGUUCUUCCCUUGCAAACCAGCCUUACAGACUUGCAUUCUGCGCGGCCAGAGCCAUGGGAUUACAGACUCUGGUUACCCCACCCAGCUUUACACGGAUUCUGGAGAAUUGACCUCAGAUGCUCACAGUUGCAUAGCAAGUCUUUACCCACUUGAACCGUUUCUUCAGAAGAAAAAAAGUCAGAAGGAUUAUACGGGUUAAAAAAAAGGAGAGAGGUCACAAGGAUGGAGAAGCAGAGAUGGAAGGAGUGGGAAUAAGUGUGAUCAGAAUGCAUGGCUUGAAAUUCCCAAAGAAUCAAUAAAAAUAUUAUGUCGGAAAAAGAAGAAAAAAAGCCAAUGGAAACAAGCCAGCAAGCAGCACCCCUCCAUGGCCUCUGCAUCAGCUCCUGCCUUCAGGUUCCUGCCCUGCUAGAGUUCCGGUUCUGACUUUCUUCAGUGAUGAAGAGUGAUCUGGAAGGCAUUGAGAAUUGCUGAAAGGGUUGGUGGGGAGGACUGAAGCUAAAUCGUAAGAAUAAACUCUCUACCGAGCUACAGAGUUCAUCUGAAGAAAAAUGUUGAGUAAUAGGACCAAGUGUUCUGAUUUUCUCGGGUCUGAGCAGUUUCCAUGUAUUUGAGAGAUUUCUUGCUAAAACAGAAAAUGUCUUGGAAAGUCGUGCACCUACAGCUGGCAUCACCAACCUCGAGAACUAGGAAAUGUACAAAAUACAAAAGUAUUGCCUUUGACCACUUCUCCACCUGGAACUCAAGUUUGCUGCAACAAGACUGCCAUUAGCAAAAGGAGAGGAAGCAAAGAGGGAGACAGAAGACAAAGAAAAAGUCAAAACUACACACAGAGACAGACAGAGGACAUUGCUUGCAUCUGUAAGUCAAAAUUCUAGAACAAAUAUCUGCUUGAAACGCCCAAGUCCCUCUCUGCAAGGGAGACAGAAAAUCUGUGUAAAACUGUGUGAUACUCUGCCUUUAAUGAUGCAUUGUUCAAAUCCAAGAGAUACACAAAUCUACUGAGGCAAGUGAAAAGGAAAAAUGAGAAUAGCGCUAUGAUGAAAAGGCUCUGCACUUUUAGGACAUAUGCAUUUCUGUCCCUGCUUUGGUACUAAACUGUCUGUAUUUGUUACUGAAUUUAUCAGAGUUUGUUUCUUAAUUACUAAAGUCAAAAUGCUGAAUGUGAUUUCUCAAAGUUGUCACAAUAAAGAGCUCCACCACUGGAUUUUGAAAAAUUGAAAAAAAAAAAAAAAAAAAAAACCAACUGUGUGAUACUAACAAAAUGGCCUACAAUAACAUCAUAAUAAUUGGCUACAUAAUGGUAAGAUACUACACAGCUCUGUGAUAGAAAUAAUUGCUUAAACAUUACAAAUUUAGACUCUCUGGCUUUGUCAUCAUUUUAAAACAUGCCCCAUUUCUAUUAUUUACCUAGAUUUUUUUUUCUGUUGCUUGUAAUAUUUCUUGAGGAGAAAAAUAAUUAUACAAAGACUCCGGUGUUUGCCAACAAGAAAUGGAUUUUAAUGGAAACCUUUUAAGUAGGACAAACCUUAAUAAGAGCAGUAAUGGACAGUGUGCUCUGAACAACUAACUCUUUAGCCUUCCCUCACAUUUAUUGUGGUUAAAUGAUUUGUGAGCAAAGAAUUUCAAGACAGGGUUUGCAUCUAUUUUUCUUUACUCUCAUUUCUCUUGCACAAUGCUUUUGGAUAAACACAUUAAGACUUUUUAAUUUUGUCUUUAUAUGUUGAACUAUAAAAUGAGAACACUGAUAACAAACCCACGAUACAGUUUUUAACUAAUGAAAAAUAAAAUAAAUAACAAAACACUAAAACAAGAAUUCUGGUUUUCCCUUUCAUAAUGCAGUGUCAGGCCUUGGCCAUGAACAGUCUCAUAGCUCAAUUUCCUAAGACAUAAAUAACUUUAAUGCCUGUACUGAGAACCUCCAAUGAUGUAUCUGCAAACAUUUUAAAAUUCUAAAACAAUAAAUGAGAACCAUAAUUAGGUUAUGUCAUAUGUCAUUUAAUAUUAAAUAUAUAGACAGUUUCCUUUGAUUUUUAUCUAAAAUAAGUCUCUGAAAAUCAGUCUAAAGUCUUUUAAUUUCAUAGUUAUUUUCCACAUGGCAGAUUUUCUUAAAGAUUUAUUUUAGGACUGAGCAAAGUGGUGCAUGCCUGUAAUCCCAGCAUUCGGGGAGGCAGGGGCAGAUGGAUCUCUGUGAGUUCAAGAUCAACCUGGUCUACAAAGUGAGUUCAGGACAGCCUAGGCUACCCAGAGAAACUCUGUCUCGAAAAACAAAAAAAAAAAAAAAAUAAACAAACCAAGUUUUAUUUUUAUUUGUGUGUGUGUAUCUAUGUAUGAGUUUGUGCACAUUAGUGCAAGUGCCUACCUACCAAGACAAGAAAAAGGAAGUCAUCUAAACUGGCAUUAUAGUGGUCGAUAGCCACCCAGUUUGUCCCGGGAAUCAAACACCAGUCCUCUACAAGAGCAAUGAGCACUCUUUCCCACAGAGCCAUCUCUCCACCCAGUGUGACAAAUUUCUAAAUAACAAUUAUUAAUGUUUUCUUGCAGUGACUGUUUCCAGGACUCUUAUUUUCUCUGAAGUUUUCUGAAUUACAUUUAUGUUCCUUUGAAUCCUGGAGAUGUUCUUCUGAGAUUUGCUGUUUGUUUAUUUUAAGCUAUGAUAUUGAAAACGAGAUUCUGUCUAGGGGACAACCAAACAAAAACCAAAUAAAAAGCAGGAGAGUCAUUCCACUUAAAACAACAGCUUUCAAAAACUCUGUUAGAAGCAUGGAGAAGAGAAUGUGUUGAAGGAGAUUUACUUGACAAAUGCUCUGUAUCUACUUUGUGAAAUUACCCAAGUGUCUGAGGACUAGAAAAAUACAGAAAUACCCACUAUGAAGAGGCUCCUUUGUAUCUUCCCCUCCGGCACUUUAGUGUCUGGAUAAUAUAAUAACUCUCUAGAGCUAUGAAUUUAUAGAUUGAAAAUUGCUGAUGCAGGAUAGCCUUGUGAUGAAUCGUGAUACCAGACAAGCGGGAUGUUAUUUUGGCAGCUCCAUAAUAAGGGCUCCUGAGUAGGGGGAAAAAAUUUAUCUCAAGCCUACUCUUCUACAGAAAUUCUGUUUCUCAACUUUAACUGUCUAAACCUAAAUAGGAUUCGCCUUUCUAUUUUUUAAACCUCGCUCAACAAAGUGCAAGCUGAAUUUACAUGCCAACCAGUCUUUGCCUUUUAUCCAUCAACACCUCAGUUGCAGACGGACUACACUGCUGGCUCACUUAAGAGGGAUGAAGCUUCCUGACUUCCUCACACCUCUUCGGCAUGCAUGACUAACAGGAGGUUGUAGUAGGGCAGAUGAUCCAAGGAAGUGGUGACGCCGGGCGCCCUGGCUGACCUUGACAAUCUCUUGCAUUCUCUUCCGAAAGGAUGUCAUUUUAUUAGUUAUACUACACCCUAAUAGAGCUAAUGAG